RNAcentral lists this ribosomal RNA (454 nucleotides) under Streptomyces sp. EYN-5-7. RNAcentral describes it as "bacterial SSU rRNA". It matches the Rfam family "Bacterial small subunit ribosomal RNA", at positions 60 to 527 of the family's 1533-position model. The record is from RNAcentral. Lineage: Bacteria; Bacillati; Actinomycetota; Actinomycetes; Kitasatosporales; Streptomycetaceae.
AGUCGAACGAUGAAGCCCCUUCGGGGGUGGAUUAGUGGCGAACGGGUGAGUAACACGUGGGCAAUCUGCCCUGCACUCUGGGACAAGCCCUGGAAACGGGGUCUAAUACCGGAUACGACCAUCUGAGGCAUCUCAUGGGGGUGGAAAGCUCCGGCGGUGCAGGAUGAGCCCGCGGCCUAUCAGCUUGUUGGUGAGGUAACGGCUCACCAAGGCGACGACGGGUAGCCGGCCUGAGAGGGCGACCGGCCAAACUGGGACUGAGACACGGCCCAGACUCCUACGGGAGGCAGCAGUGGGGAAUAUUGCACAAUGGGCGCAAGCCUGAUGCAGCGACGCCGCGUGAGGGAUGACGGCCUUCGGGUUGUAAACCUCUUUCAGCAGGGAAGAAGCGUAAGUGACGGUACCUGCAGAAGAAGCGCCGGCUAACUACGUGCCAGCAGCCGCGGGUAAUUCA